Meriones unguiculatus (Mongolian gerbil) is the source of this 129-nucleotide small nucleolar RNA. Its record names the gene SNORA70. It matches the Rfam family "Small nucleolar RNA SNORA70". From Rfam's summary of the family: snoRNA U70 seems to be exclusive to mammals and is a member of the H/ACA class of snoRNA which contain H (ANANNA) and ACA box motifs. H/ACA box snoRNAs are involved in the conversion of uridines to pseudouridines (5-ribosyluracil) a constituent of structural RNAs (transfer, ribosomal, small nuclear, and small nucleolar). The record is from Ensembl. Lineage: Eukaryota; Metazoa; Chordata; Mammalia; Rodentia; Muridae.
CUGCUGUCAGUUAAGAGGUCCAGGCUCCUUCCCUCGUAGGGCCUGGUGGUGGGCUGCACGCAGCAGCCUCCUUGGGGAUAUGUGUAGUCUGUUACUGUACAGGUUGUUCUAGAGACCCUGGAGACAGUU